This 3818-nucleotide long non-coding RNA is filed under the name Homo sapiens (human). RNAcentral describes it as "PREDICTED lncRNA (TCONS_00227724)". Lineage: Eukaryota; Metazoa; Chordata; Mammalia; Primates; Hominidae. The record is from RNAcentral.
UGCCACUGCACUCCAGCCUGGGCGACAGAGUGAGACUCUGUCUCAAAAAAAUGAAUAAAUACAAAAAUAAAGUUAAUUGUUCUUAGAUAGUACAAAUCUGCCUUCUAAUAGUAUAGCAGGAGCCCUCUCAUCAGAAACCUUUAGUUGUUUGGUUAAUCUAAAAAGUUAUUUAAAUCAGGGUGUCAUAAAAAGUACAUAUAUAGACAUUUUAACUUUAAAUAUUCUAUAUUUACCACUUAUUUACUAUAGGAUCCAGGUUUUUUCUAACUUUUUAGUGUACAUCUACUCAGUCGGGCUGUUGGUGAUAUAGUGGUACAGCAUAGCUGCCUUCCCAUAUAGGUCUGCUGAUAGAUGUUCUCUAAUUGUCUUUCUUGAAUUCCUGGCCUCAAGGAUCCUCCCACCUCAGCCUCUCAAGUAGCUGGGAUUACAAGCUGGAGCUUGUAAUCUAAUUAUCUUUCUUAUACAAAUUACAUGCAUUACAUUACAUAGGUGUGAACCACAGAUGCAGAAUUCUUGAAGAUUUUUACUAUAUUUUCCCCCAAUCUUUUAGAGCAGUUUUGCCCACAGUUAACCAAUAGCUUUUUUUUUUUUUUAAAUUUUUAAAGUCAACAAACUUUUAUCUAGUCUUUCCAAAGUAUUUAACUUGGCUUUAACAGAAACUAGAACUCUUCACGCUUGCGUCCUUGGCUCAUAUUAUCAUCAUAAAAAGUUCACCUGGCAUAAUCAGUUUGUUUGGUAACUGUAUUUGUUUCCUAGAGCAGUUGUAACAAAUUACCACUCCACAAGUGGCUUAAAAUGAGAAAUUUAUUCUCUCACACUUCCGGUGGCUAGAAAUCCAAAAUCAAGGCGUCAGCAGGGCCAUGCUCCCUCUCCAAUCUCUGCCUAGUCGUCACAUGGCCUUCUGUCUCUGUGUCCUUUUCUGUCAUUUAUAAGGAUACUGUCAUUGGAUUUAGAACCUACUCAUAUCCAAUAUCAGCUUAUCUCAAUACUUACCUAUUACAUCUGCAAAGACAUGAUUUCCAAGUGAGAAUACAUUCUGAGGUUGCAGGUGGACAUAAAUUACUGGGGAACACUAUUUGACCCACUACAGUCACAAACUCAAACAGCCUUUGGUAAACAUACCUUGCAGCAAAUGGGAAUAGAAAACACAACCCCUACUCAGGUUAAACAACAGAAAUUUAUUUUCUCACAGUGUUGGAGGCUGAAAAUCCAAGAUCAAGGUAUCAGCAGAUUUGGUUUCUUCAAAGACUUCUCUCCUUGACUUGCAGAUGGCACCUUCUCACUGUCUUUAUAUGGCCUUUCCUCUGUGCACUUGUAUCCCUGGUGUGUCUUCCCCUUCUUAUAAGGACAUCAAUCCUAUUGGCUUUAGGGCCCCACCCUUAUGACCUCACUUAACCUUAGUUACCUCUUUAAAGGCCCUGUUUCGAAAUAUAGCCAUGUACCACAUAACAGCUUUUCAGUCAAUAAUGGACUGCAUAUAUGUUGGUGGUGCCAUACGAUUAUAAUGGAGCUAAAAAUUCCUAUCACCUAGUGACAUCAUAGCCAUCAUAAGGUAGCACAACACGAUAAUCAUGUUGUUUAUGGUGAUGCUGGUAUAAACAAACCUGUGCUGCCAGUCAUAUAAAAAUCUAGCACAUAAAAUGAUGUAAGGUAUAUAGUACUUAAUAAAUGGCUAGGUUACUGGUUUAUGCAUUACUGUGCUAUAUGUUUUGUCAUUAUUUUAGAGUGUACUUCUACUUAAAAAAAAGUUAACUGUGAAACAGCAUAAGGCAGGCCCUUCAGGAGGUCUGUGAGAAGAAGGCAUUGUUACAGGAGAUGACAGCUCCGUGGGUAUUAUUGCCCCUGAAAACCUUCUAAGCAGGACAAGAUGUGGAGAUGGAAGACAGUGACAUUGAUGAUCCUGACCCCGUAGACAGGCUGAAGUGGUGCAGUCAUAGCUUACUGUAGUCUUGACCUACUGGGCUCAAGCAAUCCUCCUGCCUCAGCCUCCUGAGUAACUAGGACUACAGGGCAGCCUUGAACAUACCAGGAAGCAAUAGGAAAAAACUGGAGAAAGUGAAAAGGCUGCGAUGAAGGAAAAGAGGAGACAAACAAGGGUGACAUUGGCUGGGCAGCAAAGAUGACCAAAAGGCCAAGAAGCCUGUGCUGUUCCAGUAUUGAUCCGGUGCUCCUCCGUCACCAUCCGACCACAGAACCUCAGGCUGAUAGUUGUUCACUAACUCAUAGAGCUCUGGCAAUGUCUUAGAAACUGGAAAUUGCCGCUUAUGGAAUGAACUGGAUUCAUCCUCAAGGAAGAGCGGAUGAAACCAUUCAAAAAGGGAAUAGUACAGUCCAAAACGCAGGUUCUGGCUCUGUCACCCAGGCUGGAGUUCAGUGGUGCGAACUUCGCUCACUGCAUCCUCGACCUCCUGGGCUCAAGUGAUGCUCCCACCUCAGCCUACCAAGUAGCUAGGACUACAGCUUGGGAAAGUUCCUAGACAUCAGGAAAUCAGCAUGUUCUCAAGCAAAUACACUUGAUAGACAUUCAUCUCAGCAGGAUAAAUAUCUACAGGAGAAAAUCAUGAAGCUACCAGAAUGUGGCCAAAGGGAAAAAUAUCCUAUGAUCAUUCCAGAUUUUUUGUGUUGGUUCUCCUCUCCUAUUCCCAUCCCAUCCCUGGAGAAAACAAUAAGGCAAAGUUUCCCGUUUUUUUUUUUUUUUUUUUUUGAGACAGGAUCUCCCUCCGCCACCUAGACUGGAGUGUAGUAAGCCUAUCUCCGCUCACUGCAGCCUCAAGCAGUCCUCCAACCUAAGCCUCCCAAGUAGCUGGGACUACAGAGACAUACCACUACGCUAAUUUUUUAGUUUUUGUUUGUUUGUUUGUUUUUGUAGAGACAGGGUCUCACUAUGUUGCCCAGGCUGGUCUUGAACCCCUGGGCUCAAAUGAUCCUCCUUCCUCGGCCUCCCAAAAUUUUGGGAUUACAGACAUGAGCGACCACAUCCAGUGCAAAUUUUUUUAUACCAAGGCAAAGAUGAUCAUGCAAAAGAAACUAAUGAAUGAACAAGCCGUUGGAACAAAAACAAUUUGUUAAUGCUUCCCUGGCCUUACAAAUACUGGAGUGGUAAUGGGUGGAAUCCAUUCUAUUAAAAUAGAAUGGAUUUUAAAUGUGUGGGGGUUUAGAUAUUCUUCUACCACCUCUGAUUUUUCUGGAAACCAUUACAGUUCCACAAUCCUUUUCCCUCCAGGUGAUCUGGGUCACUUUCAUCACUUUCAUCACUAUCAGUUCAUCCACUAUUUGCACCAUUUGGCCAGCUAAGAGUUGGCUAAAAGUGCAGCCAGGUGUGUCGUAAUGAUGCAAGACUAUAGCAGUAUAAUCCCCAUGAUGCAUUCACAGGAUGCAUUACAGAGAAGGGGAAGGAAAGAGUGCAAUUCCAAGAUGAACUUUGACUUGCAACCCACACUCCCUUCAACAAACAGCUUUAAGUAAAUCUUGGAAAUAUUGUUCAAAAUACAUGUGACAAAACGUGACCAUCUUUCCUCUGUUACGUGGCGGGUAUGAUCCUUUCUGUAUUCCUAACAUCUCUCAAUUUGGGUUGAAUGUGCAGUCCCUAAGUCAUAAGCAAGUGCCAGUCACCACUUAUGGUUGCUCCGAAGAGAAAAUUAGACCUUGCUUUAGUUUUUUCUUCCAAAAGAACAACUUUUCAUUUCUUAACCAUUGUCAGCAAUUUCCAUAGGCUGGAUUGACUUACCUUCAUGAUGUUUGGAAGUUAAGACAAUGUAUUUGGCACCAGAGGCCUGAAAAAUAUCUGCCCACUGGUUGGCAUUAAAAAAUUUUGCUGU